Molecule: ribosomal RNA, 301 nt
Filed under: uncultured bacterium
Lineage: Bacteria
Description: partial 16S ribosomal RNA
Rfam family: Bacterial small subunit ribosomal RNA
Source: RNAcentral
CAGUAGCCGCGGGAAUACGAAGGGGGCUAGCGUUGCUCGGAAUGACUGGGCGUAAAGGGCGCGUAGGCGGAUUGUUUAGUUAGGCGUGAAAUUCCUGGGCUUAACCUGGGGACUGCGCUUAAUACAGGCAGUCUAGAGUGAGGAAGAGGGUUGUGGAAUUCCCAGUGUAGAGGUGAAAUUCGUAGAUAUUGGGAAGAACACCGGUGGCGAAGGCGGCUACCUGGACUGACACUGACACUGAGGCACGAAAGCGUGGGGAGCAAACAGGAUUAGAUACCCCAGUAGUCCCUGUCUCUUAUAC